Chroicocephalus ridibundus (black-headed gull) is the source of this 2047-nucleotide long non-coding RNA. RefSeq lists it as uncharacterized. NCBI's taxonomy places the organism in Eukaryota, Metazoa, Chordata, Aves, Charadriiformes, Laridae. The transcript is spliced from 3 exons. The record is from RefSeq and is a predicted model, not a curated record.
GAGACAGGAGGGGGAGUUAGUGCCUGUCCCCAGCUUGCUGCGGCUCAGCGCUUGCCCCCAUCCACGGGGACAUUCCCUCGUGCUGCCCCUGACUACCAGCACCGGCUUUGACAUUGGAGAUGGGGGAAUUGGGGUUAAUCAUUACCCUCAGAAAGCAGAGACAAAGGUGACCUCCAGCUGGAGCUGCUUCAGCUCAGGUCCUCCUGGCACAGCUCUGGGACUGUCCUCACUGUCCACCCCCACCAAGCAGGAAGGUUUGGUGUUGCUCCUGUCCCAGAGCAGCACAUGGGACCUGCGCCUCACAUGGUACAAGGACUCUGCCCAGCGUCAGCCCCGUUGCCCAUCUCGCUGCAGGGACACGAGGGCAGGGGCUGAGCUGCGGGGCUGUGAGAACCGGGGCUGCGACAGACACCAAGGGGUUUUUCUCCCAGUCCUGUAUUUAUGCUGUCAAACUGUGCCUCUUCCUCACACAGCAGACUAAAUGUGAAUCUUGUUAAAUUAACAACAUCAAGGUUUUUCUACCCAAAACGUCCUAGAAAUCUGAAGCCCAAAUAAAUUCCUUCCCUCUGGCUGCCUCCUUCAGUUGUGGGCUGAUUUGUUAUUGCAGAGCGGCUUGGUCUGGGUCUGCCAGCAGAAGUGAUAUUUAAGUGAUUAAAGAGUAUCGAAACAAUCUCAGGGUGGAUUUUUAGAAGAACUAGGUCAAAUGUUGUGUUUUCUGACCACAGCAAUGUCUGGGCCCUUCUCAUGGAAAUGGCAGCCCUGUCCCUCUUGCCGGCAGCUGUGCUGGUGAUUUUACCUUCGGAUUUCUUUAACACUGGCAUCACCAGGCUCUAUUUUGUACCAAGUGCUUUGGCAAUGCAAAUGUUUAACUUCUAGCUGACCUUGAAUUGCAGAGAAGGCAGGAGUUAUUAGACGCUGGAAAGGUUGAUUCAACAACUUGCAAAAAUUAACCCUUAGUGAGCUAAAAAAUUAAAACCAUUCUGAUUGACUACCACUCCACUCCAAAAUGCUCUUGAGAAUGCUUUUUAGCUCAGAGCAAGUUAAAAAUUUAUCAUCCUUGCAUCCAGGGUAUGGUACAGACUGGAGGUGAUUACAAAACAAACUGGCCGGUGUGACUCCAAAGACGAGCAGAAGGAGCACAAGAGGUGCCUCCCCCACGGCAGCGACCUGAAGAUACCCCGGCCAAGGCGCUAAUGUGCAACUGCAUCAUGCCUUGUGAUCUGGCCUCUGACCCAUAAGGAAAGAUGUGCUCUUGUUUGAACGUGCAUAAGCUCCUCUGCACAUCUUCGUUAUCAGCCCUGCUUUCUCUGUUUGUAGAGGUUUAUACCUUGCGACUGUGAGUGCAAGGCAAAUCUGUCCUCGUGCAGGGCAGGGAGGAAUCCAGAGCAGCUUGGGCACUGGGAGGAAAGCAGCCAUUCCUAACGAUCCUACAACGUCUUGUCACUCCAGCAGUGCACUGGAGAACCAGUGCAUGGACCCAGUUAACUCGCAAGAUCCGGUUUAAUGUUUAAGCACAGCAAGGCAAUGAAGAUGGACUUCUCUCUGCUCAUGACUCUGAGGGACCAUGGCCUGAGAAGACAGCCAUCCAAGGAGGCUCUGAGUUCUUUACUCUCACCAUGUGUAGCCAGUUCUAGGCAUUUAACGCUUGUAGAGCAUCUUGAGUUAAUCUGUAGACCAACAAACUGCAGCAGCAUGAGCGGAGAUAUCCCCGCUGUGUUUAUCAUGUCAAACACAUGGCACAAAUCAUUUUGGUUUUGCUGCCUGCAACUUCCAAGUUGCUUUAUCGCAGGAACCUUUUGAUUUGGGAUCUGAAUUGAGACAGAUGAAAUAUUAAUAAGCAGAAAAGCAAAGAAAAUGAUAUGCAGAAAUCUAAGGCAGAACUGGAGGCUGACAGGCCGCUCGCGUGUUAGCUGCCUGCGGGCUGGUGUCCGGCUGCCUGCCCCAGCACGGGGAUGAGGAUGGGCCCGUGGGCCAGCGCGGCGUCCCCACGGCUCUCCUGCUGAUGUCGAAAGAAAAGUUAAAAUUUUAUCAAGAAGUUUCAGUUGGG